Molecule: long non-coding RNA, 8624 nt
Filed under: Linum usitatissimum (flax)
Lineage: Eukaryota; Viridiplantae; Streptophyta; Magnoliopsida; Malpighiales; Linaceae
Description: long non-coding RNA (LUSI_LNC006108)
Source: RNAcentral
UCAAGUACUCGUUCUUUAAUUCUGUUGACGAAUCAAGCUGCUCGCGAUUGAUUUGGUGUUCUGCUCGAUAAAAAAACUAAAUUCAAAUAUUGCUUGAUUUUAAACGAGUUGGAUCGAUAACAAACAAGCCGAGCUGGAGCCAACCUUGCUCUGCUCGGAUGGCUUAUGAGCUUGAUGAGUUUGGCUCUCAAGCUAGCUCGUUUGAAGCUCGAUUCCAGCUUGACUAAGGCUCUAGUUAAAGAUCGUUAAUUAGUUGGCUUGAUUAAUUCGUGUAGUUCGAAAGUUGAUUUUGGAAUUUUUAAUUGUUUGAAUAUUCUUAUUUUAUCUAAAAGUAUAAUAAUAGGAUGAUGUCUUAAUGAUUUUUAACUUAAUUAAACUAUACCAAUCAAAUCUAUUUUAGAAUAUUGUGAAAAUUAUAAAUUUGUAUCUAAACUGAACUCGAAAUUUAACUCGAUUCAUUAAUAAUUAUAAACAACCCAAACAGAGCUCGUUAAGAAUUACAAAUAAGGCAAACUUGUACUCGACCUCGUUAAAAUUUGCGAAGAAGUAGAGCUUGAGCUAACAAUUAUUUCCCAAACUGCCACUACAAACAAAUAUAACCGCACUCGAACUGACCAAAACUCGACUCGGCUCUUCAACACCCCUAUUAAUAGGAUCCUAUUAAAAGUUGGUAAACAAUUUUUGUGUGGAGUGGGCCUGAUUGUUUUGGGCCAACAAUAUUCUUUUUUUACUUGUUUGGCCCAGUUGAUUGUUUCGAAACCAAACGAGGCGUCCCUACGAUUUCUAUAACGUUCUUUUUUUAGCAGUUCAAAAUUUGAGUACGUAAAAUUAUACCCUAUGAUUUCUCCAUAAUUUAUACUCUGCCUCAACCUCGGUGACUCGGUGUGAAGUGUCUCUUUUGAUCCAUCUUUGUUUCGUUUAUUGUUUAUCGAUUUCUAACUGUUUGCUUGUUCGAUGGGCAGCUGAUUGUUUCGAAACCAAACGAGACGUCCCUGAAAUCGAGACUAAUAGUGACAGGACACGCGCUAGGAGGAUCAAUCGCAUCACUCUUCACGCUAUGGCUGCUAGACAAGAUGAGCUCCAAGAAGCCAUCGAAGAACCUCCCACUCUGCAUCACCUUCGGGUCGCCUCUCAUGGGAGACAGAGGACUCCAACGAGCCAUUUCGCAACGGUCAACGUGGAACUCUUGCUUCCUCCACGUUGCUGCUGCAGUUACUCACGACCCUCUCCCCGCCCGCUUCCUGCAAACUAACAACAACAACAAUGGUGGUCACACUUACAAGCCGUUCGGCACGUUUCUCUUCUGUUCCGAUGAUGGCCGAAGCUGUGGCUGGGUUGAGGACCCUGAAAUCGUUUCGAUUUUGCUUUCACACAAGGGUAGUGGAUUGGGAGCGUCGUCUGGCGAUUCGGGUUCUGGAUCAUCGGUUGAUGGGUAUGGGAAAUUGGUUGAAAGUCUAAAGCUUAGAGUAAUUUGUCAAGGGAGUUGUGAACUUGGUGGAUCAGUUGGGGAUUCCCUCCAGGCUGGGAUUGCUUUGCAGCUUCGAUCCAUCGGCAUUUCGGAUAAGGUAACUAGUUAUAAUCAUUUAUAAAAAGAAUAAUUAGUUAUAAUCAGUUAUAAUCAUAUGUUUGUAACUAGUUACAUGAAUUAAUAAUUAAUUAUAAUCAUAUGUAACUAAUCACGUCAUUUAAUAAUUAGUUAUAAUCAUUUAUAAAAAGAAUAACUAGUUAUAAUCCUAAUUUUAUUAACUUAAUUGAAAUAUCUCAACAGUUAAUUGAGCCUGUCAAUACAAGUUGAUUAAUUUUUUUCUAUACAAAUAGAGAACAUAUAUAGAUGCAAAUUUGGACACAUUAUGAUUGAACUAUAAUUAUUUCAAAAUUGUAUUAGACUUGUUUUAAUAAUGGUUCAUGUUCUAACUAGCCAAACCAUCUUUACUGAUACGAUAUUGAAAAAUUUGUAAAAAUGUGAUAAAUUAGUUAUAAUUAUAUAUUUAUAAAUAAUUAUCCGACUUAAUAAUUAGUUAUAAAUAUUUUUAACUGAUUACGGCAACAACAGAACCAGAGCAUCAAAAGCUUGGCAGAGUCGGUGGAGAAGAAGGCGAGGUUCACAGCACUAAGGAAAAGGAGCGCCACAGAGCAAAGCAGGAAAGUCCAGGAAACCAAGGUCAAAAUGGCCUACUUCGAAUGGUACAAAAAGGACUCCAAGCUGAACAGAAGAGCAUGCUACUACGACACUUACAAAUCCCAGACCACAAUAGCCGACAUGGAAAUCGCCAAGUACAAGAAAUUCCUCACAAACUACUGGAGAGACGUCGUGGAAGACGCCGAGAGCCGGCCCCAAAAAGAAGGCUCAUUCUUCCGUACGACGUUCCUCUACGGAGGAACGAACUACAGAAGAAUGGUGGAGCCCCUAGACAUCGCGGAGUUCUACCGAGAAGGGAAAACCAAUUACAAGAGCCAGGGGAGGGCCAAGCAUUACGUUCUGUUGGAGAAAUGGCUCGAGGAUGACGCGAAGGAGAAGGUGGGUAAGAAGAAGAAGCACGGUCCGGGGGAUAAUUUGAACGAGGAUUCGUGUUUCUGGGCGAAUGUCGAGGAGGCGUUGGUUCGGGUUAGGUUGCUGAAGAAGGUUGGGGGUGGUGGUUCUUAUUCAGGGGAGGCGAAGAAAUGUUUGGUGGAGUUUUUGGGGUACGUAAUGGGGCAGAUUGAGAAUUAUGGGGUGGAUCCUGAAAUUUUCCUGGGGGAGAGUUCUUUCAUGAUUUGGUGGAAGGAGUUUCAGGAGGUUUUGGGGAUUGUUGGCAGUGGUGAUGAUCCAUUGGUUCAAUAUAUGAAGAGUGGUAAGUAUCGUUACUAUGGUUCUUCCAAGUGAUUUAUUUAUUGAUAUGGUCGAAAUAAAGUACAAAUCGAUGUACUUAUCGAAUGUGUUAUUUUUGAUUUAGCUAUUUGUAUAUGUUGUUUUUAUUUCGAAACUAGAUUUAUGUCCAUAUUAUUCCGUAAUUGUAAGUACUAGAAUGGGAAUAUGAGAAAAGGGUAUAGAAUUAAAAAGUGAUAUGGAUUAUGCUUGAUAAUAAGUCACAAAUUGUCCUAAUUUUUUUUAAUUAUAAGAAUAAUUAUCCCCUUACCUAUAAAUAUUCAUAGGGUAUAUUGAAAACACCCACUAAUGGUGGUGUUGUGUCACGUACAUUUUUAUAAUUAUGUGGGGAUGGGUUAAUUGUAUACGUCCACACGGCAUCAAAUCGAGUCUAAAGAGAGAAGAUGACAAUUGAUUUUUAAGUAGCCGUCCAUCCAGCUAGCAAUAUGCAUGCAGGAACAUGCCCCAUUUCCACUUUUGAUGAUCAUUUUUCUUUUGUGACUCGACACUUCUGAGUUGCGAGCUAGCCAGCCAAACUCCUCCAAAAUUGAACCAAAAUUAAAUUUCUAGUUUUUUCCGAAGGUGAUUGCUAGAAGUUAAGCUAAUUUAAAAAACCUUCAUUAUUAAAUAUAAUAUCAUUAUCAUAUAAAUUUUAANNNNNNNNNNNNNNNNNNNNNNNNNNNNNNNNNNNNNNNNACUAUAAUAACUCCACAAAAUAAUAGUUAAAAUCAUUUUUUAAUAUUAAGUUAGUAUUGAAAAUUUUUAAAUUGAUUUAUUUUUUAUAUGUACUGGUGAGAAAUAGUUAGAAAUUCAAGUUAAAAUAUUUUAUGGUCAAACUUAAAAGUCUAUUGGAUGUGUGUUCAUAUUUCUCUGACUCUCAUGAAUUUAAUUAUGUGGUCGAAUGAGAUAUUUUUGAUAAAAUGAAUGACUUUAACUGAAUUGUUCAUAUCAAAUAGUUAGUGUUCAUACAUACUUCCAUAGUUUCACUAACUGAAUUAAUACUAGACUACGUUAUAUACUUCCAAAGUUUCAGUGACUGAAUUUGUUCAUAUGAAAUAUUAAUGAUGAGAAGGGAAAUUUUACUGAUUACUGAUUAGUGGAGCUUUAUUCACUUUUAAAUAUAUAAAAAUAGCGCGUGUAUUUCAAACUCAGAAGAUGCUCUCGUAUGCUUUUUCCUCUUUGUCCCCGGGCUCCCCCACCUCUUUCUUUCCCUCUCUUAUCUUUUCUUCUUCAUUCCCCUUUUCAUUUCAUCUCAGAUUCUCACCUCCGCCCGCUCCCCAACACUUUCUCCUCCUCCACAUUGUCCCACCUUUCUCCGGCCAACCCUCCGGCUGCUAUGGCUACACAACCCCCACCACACCGGCCGCUGAUUCUCCUCCUCCUCUCCACUCUCCUCCUCAGUCUAUCCACAACCUCCGAGUCCAGCCUCUCCUACAACUACUACUCCAAAUCCUGCCCCAGAUUCACCCAAAUCAUCCAGGAAACAGUCACAAACAAGCAAAUCACCAGCCCCACCACCGCCGCCGGCACCCUCCGCCUCUUCUUCCACGACUGUUUCCUCAACGGCUGCGACGCCUCCACUCUAAUCUCCUCCACCUCCUUCAACAGAGCCGAGCGCGACGCCGAAAUCAACCUCUCACUCCCAGGGGACGCCUUCGACUUAAUCGUCCGUGCCAAGACCGCCCUCGAGCUUGCCUGCCCCAACACGGUCUCCUGCUCCGACAUCCUCGCCGUCGCCACACGAGAUCUCGUCACCAUGGUCGGCGGCCCCUUCUACGACGUCCCGCUCGGCCGCCUCGACUACCGCGUCUCCAAAUCCUCCGCCGUUCCCGGAAACCUCCCGCUGCCGUCGACCCCGAUGUCGCAGAUGAUCGACAUGUUCGCCGCCAGGGGAUUCUCCGUCCAAGAGAUGGUCGCUCUUAGCGGGGCCCACACCAUCGGAUUCUCCCACUGUGAAGAGUUCAGCGGAGAUCUGUACAACACCACCGCCACGGCGGGGGGAAGUAACUACAAUCCGCGAUUCGCAGCGGCGUUGCAGAAGGCGUGCGCGAAUUACAAGAAGGACCCGUCGAUCUCGGUGUUCAACGAUAUAAUGACACCGAACAAAUUCGACAAUGUGUACUACCAGAACUUGCCCAAGGGGCUGGGACUGCUGAAGUCGGACCAUGGAUUGGUGAAAGACGAUCGCACCCGGCCGUUUGUGGAGAUUUAUGCGAAAGAUCAGAACAAGUUUUUCAAGGAUUUCGCCACUGCGAUGCAGAAGCUGAGCGUGUAUGGUAUCAAGACUGGGAGACGAGGCGAGAUUAGGCACAGGUGCGAUGCUGCCAACUGAUUGAAUUCAGAAGAUCCAGUUCAUCAUCGAUCUGGGUUGUGCUGGGGAAUGUAGCGAUUCAUUAUUUAUUUUAAUCUUUUUUUCCUGAAAGUUUUGGUUGAUGUUGUAAGGAUUAUCGUUGUAUACCAUAAAGAAAAGUUUCAUACUUGAGUGGAAGUAAACAGUUGAGGUUUGUGAAAGCUGGCAUUUUGAUCAGUUGUUGAUGUUGCUAAAGUGUGGUUUGGAUGUGAUGGAGAAUUGUUAAUGUUGCUACAAUCAGAGAAGGGUUUUGGCAGAAUUUCAAGUUCAAAUGUCAUGUAUUGAUCGAUUUGAUUUUGACAGUGCAUUUUUGAGGUAGAAAAUAUCGAGAUAACAUUCUAACUUUAACUAGACUCAAACAAAGGGAAAAUGAACAUAAUAGGAGAUAUGAAGUUUGAUUUCGUCAAUUUUACAUAGAAUUUUAUAAUUCGAAAUAAAAAAUUAUGAACAAUGGUUUGAAUUGGCCCGCUCCUAGUAACAUCUACAUCAAAUUCAUGAAAAUUUUAAAUGGAGCCACAUUCCGUUUAAAACUUUCAUGAAUAAAAGUUAUUAAUCACGGCAAUUUUAACCGAUAUUGAAUGAAUAUUAGCGGUAGGAGAUCAAAAGUUUAUGUUUGACAAUAAGUUACUACACAAAUUUAUACAUAUUCAAAAUAAUUCAAAAUAACAAACCAAAUUAUAUAGGACUUGAAAUACACUGCCCGAAAUAAUUUACAUAAUUUUUGUAAACCGGCUACCAUAUGGACAUGGCAGGAAAUCCAUAAAAUAUUAAAAUGGUUAAUUUUAUAGUUUAAUAUUUAACACACAUAGUCAACAGUCAACUGCGAGGGAAAAGAAACGGCAAAUAAAACUGAGAAAGAAUUCAUAACUGGGGACGGUGCUGGAUUAAUUUAAAGGGAAGCAACACCAUUAACUAGAGAUAAUACCGAGGUAGAGGUGCAAUUAAGUGUCUUGGAGCUGAUGAUUUAAUUAGAGAUUUUUAAUUAAAAAUAAUUGGACAGUGUGAUUCUGGUUUUUGUGCUGUACUGGGGUUUCAUUUGCCGGCUUCGUUACAGCUAAGCUGAACAAUUCCUCAUGGUAACGUGACAUGUCUUGUCGGUGACUUGGUGUUUCAAACUUAUAAACUACUGAAUAUACAGAUCCGGAGCUUUAAGUCGCUAGUUUUCUGCACGUCGAUGCUUGUCGUCGUGGCAAUCAUUUGAAUCAUUCAUAGUCUGUGAAGGCCACUGCAGUUAUUUUCUGUCUCGAAUAAGAAUGGUAACGGGUCAGGAUCGGGGCGAGUACGUUAACCACUAGGGCCGGUAAGGUCCGGUUAGGGUAUAGUAUCAUUUAUCAUAUCACAGUGAGAUAGGAUAAUUGCACGUGUAGCCUAAAUCGCGAUCAAGCGAAAGUAACAGGAGGAAACAAGAAGAUAUGAUAAUUGCAUUGGCAGAAAGAAGCCAGGAGGUUACCUUGCCGGAGCGGCCAAGGGUGAUAGUGACCUUAGUGUUGGAGGACAUGAUUUUAGGUCUCCUCCAGGAGAAGGGGAAGAGGGGGGGGGGGGGGGGAUCAAAUCAAAGAGCUGAUACGAAAUCAAAGACUGCAGAAUCUGUAGUGGUAUGCUGAAUUCAUACAGUGUUUGGCAGUAGAACUGCUGGAGAAAAGCUCUGAUGGCGCGCGGUUUUGUUGAGGACGAACCCAAAGGCGCCGAGGGAAGGAAUUGAAGAUCGCGACCUGAGUAGAAUACACUACAGUCUGCCGUGCUCAUCUCAUUGGGCUCCAGUUCCGGCCAUACAGUGUUCCUAUUCGGCCCAACUAGUUCGAUUCUUCCGAAAAAAAUGCAACACAUACUACUUUAAUUUUAAGUUAUUGCAUUGUAUGUCAUUAUAGUCCGUUUAUCGCUGCAUUCGAAGCUCGUUAGCUGGUUUCUAGUAGUCCAUUCGGUAAACAUCUGAUGUGGGCGUCCACGUGAAUCUCACCCGUGUUAGAGAUGGCAAUGGUAACGUUGCUAUAGUUAUUUGUCGGACCCUCAACAAAUCAAACAUUAGAAAAUUUGAGUUGACCGAAAAUAGGGGUACUUUUGUCUUUUCAAAUUUAUUAUCUGGCGGGGUGGUUUGGUCAUUUAAAAAAGAAUUAUUUCGCUUACCAGUAGUUAUCCCUUACCAGAAUGAAUGGAAAACGGCUGUCGUGCAUGGAGAGCUUGAACAUUUAUCCAAUGGAAAGGAUAAUGUCUCCUCCUGCGCUUGACAAAUGACAAACUAGGUUGAGAAAUUGACAAAACUAUGUUGACAAAUGUCGGCUACCCGUGAAAAAAGGGAUUAACCCAAAAAAAAGAUCAUGUUAUAAAUACCUGGAGAAGAGCUAGAGCUGUACUUCAGUAAACAGUAGUAGCAGUCUACCACCAUAUAUAGCUAGAGAAGACCAACCUUAAGUUUGAUUAUGAUGGCUUCCUCUCUGGCUGUGUCUGCCACUAGCCUAGUUGUUACCGCUGCUGUAAUGUCUUCCCAUCAAGGAACACACCCAACUUUUUCCUUGCUAAUAACAAAUCCACAUCGCCACUGAAACCCAUCAUCUCAUGCCAUGCCGGUGUUGGUUCCUUGCGAAGCAAGGCUCAUCAGGAUGGUUCUUUGUUCGGCAAGGCUCAUCGGGAUGGUUCCUUGUUUGGCGGCCAGGGUGCCAUGUUCGGCAAGGCUCAUCAGGAUGGUUCCGUGUUUGUCGGUCAGAGUUCAUUGUUCGGGAAGGCUCAUCAGGAUGGUUCCGUGUUUGUCGGCCAGAGUUCAUUGUUCGGCAAGGCUCAUCAGGAUGGUUCCUUGUUCGGCGGCCAGGGUGCCAUGUUCGGCAAGGCUCAUCAGGAUGGUUCCGUGUUUGUCGGCCAGAGUUCAUUGUUUGGCAAGACUCAUCAAGAUGGUUCCUUGUUCGGCGGCCAGGGUGCCAUGUUCGGCAAGGCUCAUCAGGAUGGUUCCGUGUUUGUCGGCCAGAGUUCAUUGUUUGGCAAGGCUCAUCAAGAUGGUUCCUUGUUCGGCGACCAGGGUGCCAUGUUCUGCAAGGCUCAUCAGGAUGGUUCCGUGUUUGUCGGCCAGAGUUCAUUGUUUGGCAAGGCUCAUCAAGAUGGUUCCUUGUUCGGCGACCAGGGUGCCAUGUUCUGCAAGGCUCAUCAGGAUGGUUCCGUGUUUGUCGGCCAGAGUUCAUUGUUUGGCAAGGCUCAUCAAGAUGGUUCCUUGUUCGGCGGCCAGGAUGCCAGGUUCGGCAAGGCUCAUCAAGAUGUCCAUCAGGAUGGUCAUCAUGAUGGUUCCUUGUUCGGCGGCCAAGGUGCCAUGUUCGGCAAGGCUCAUCAGGAUGCCCAUCAGGAUGGUACCUUGUUUGGAAAGGCUCGUGUCGAAGGCGAUUUAGGCGAUGGUUCCUUGUUCGGCAAAGGUCAAGAUGUCAAGAGGGGUGACAACUUUGUUGCAGC